Molecule: long non-coding RNA, 1934 nt
Organism: Phasianus colchicus (ring-necked pheasant)
Lineage: Eukaryota; Metazoa; Chordata; Aves; Galliformes; Phasianidae
Source: Ensembl
UAGCUUCACUUCCUAACCCCAGCUCUGCUUCCUCCCUCCAUCUCACAGAUCGUGAACCCUCAUCAGUGAAUCCUUUUCUGUUUCAUCACAUUCCCUUCACUCUUGUUGCUGUUAUUCUGUGCAUGAUAUAAUUGGGUACUACUCAACAUUUUAGGAAAAAGCAACACCUGUCAUCUGAUACCAAUGGCUUGUUUAGGAUGGACUAGAAAGCAGCGAGCACGAAUAUAGAGUUAGGAUACAGGAGAUGUACGUUGGCCAUUUCCUCUCUGACAACUGCGUGUCACUUUUGCAGCAGACUGUAGCUCCCUUAGCAUUAUCCAUAAGGACAGUCUUUUGAGGACAGUGACAUAGAGUGGGUGCUGCCAUCCCUGUGCUGAGGAGCUAGCGACGUAUUUCUCUCUCCUUUGGUGGCAGACACACACAGCCCACGGAGAGAACAAGGAAAUGUUGAGUCCACUAGGAUUCACCUACUAGCGGGGCAAAAAAACCCCACAAACAAAAGCAAGCGUCAGCCUUUCUCCAGUGCCAGCUUAAGGUGCUUUAGGAAAGUUUCUGUUUGCUGUGUCCGAUUGAUACGGCUGAACGAUCGAUCGGCUGACAUUUGUGAGGGACUAAUGUCAAUUUAAGACCAAAACUGCAAGCGCGGACCCCCCUCUCGCUGCCGCCCGCCCACCAAACGAGCCAACGGCUCGGUGCUGUGCCAGAGCCCCGUGCCUGGGCCCUGCGCUCCCCGCCCGCGGAGCCGCUCCAGCUUUUGUCUCCGUACGCUGCCUUCUUCCUUUCUCUCUUUCCAAACUUUUGAGCUCUCGCUCUGAGCUGUAUUUAUAGAGCUGGAGCCCACGGCUGUGUUUUUCCUUGUACCUCCUUUGGCUUGGGCUGAAGUCACUGGCAGGGAAAAUAAGAAGGAGGCAGGCGGGCGGGCAGACGAGCGGGAGGACAGAAGGGAAAAAGAGCCUGAGUCCCGCAGACGGGACCUGGAGGGAAGCUGGGGUAGGCGCGGAAUGUGCGGAACCCUUCUCCCGCGGACGAGCGAGAGUGAGGACGUUGAAGUCUCUAAAAUGGCACCAAAUCUCUCAGCAAAGCGGACUGUGUAGUUGCGUUGUUAAGCAUUUUCCUUGCCGACGUGCACCACAUUGACAUUAAUCUCAGCAAUGUAUGUCAAAGUAAUUCUGACAUCAUUAGAGAGCCCGUUCUGCAGGUAAGCAAAAAAAGUGAAACUGUGAAAGGCGUUUUUUUUUGGGGGGGGUGACAGAAAAUGAGGCGCUCAGGUUUGGCUUCUCGUGCAGAGCGGCGGGAGCCGCCGGAUUGCACUUCUCUGCACCGUUCAGUGUAUUAUGACUGUGUUCCAACUCAUUCCGAUGCGCCUUAAGGAAGGUAUAAAAUUUGAUUAAAGCUCCCAACAGCGCAUCAGGUCCCGCUCUGAGCCUCGGCUCCGCAUUCAGGCUUGUUCACGUCGCCGACGCUUCAGAACAAAACCCUGUUACCCUCAGCGUCUUCGGGCAGAUUUUUCUGUUUGAUUACAUCAAUAAUUUAAUUUCUAUUUCCUACCGGCCCUUCUAAGUAGGCAAAUCAACCCCCUUCCAACAUGGGUGGGGGCCGUUAUUUAUAGCUCGUUCUCUGGAACAAAAUGUACCAACACUCCCUCCUUUGAAUCUCAUUGCGGUUUCACUGCACUUUGAUAUUUAAGACCGUCGGUUUUCCUUGUCAAACUACCUGCUAUAGGAAAUUGCUCCCUUCGCUUGGCAAAUCACUCUUCACAAAGGUAGACAGGAACAUCUGCCUAAGGAAAGAAACGUUUCUAAAACGUUGCAGGGACAGAUCCAAAUUAAUAAGCUGGUAAAUCUUCUGCAAGAGCUGCCCUUACGGUAACUGUGUGCAGAGUUCUCCGUAGCUCUGUGCCCAGCUAUCAGAAUAAAUCAGAAUCGACUAAAACA